RNAcentral lists this ribosomal RNA (342 nucleotides) under uncultured Coprococcus sp. RNAcentral describes it as "partial 16S ribosomal RNA". Lineage: Bacteria; Bacillati; Bacillota; Clostridia; Lachnospirales; Lachnospiraceae. The record is from RNAcentral.
GGAGUCUGGGCCGUGUCUCAGUCCCAAUGUGGCCGAUCACUCUCUCAAGUCGGCUACUGAUCGUUGCUUUGGUAGGCCGUUACCCUGCCAACUAGCUAAUCAGACGCGGGUCCAUCUCACACCACCGGAGUUUUUCACACCGUACCAUGCGAUACUGUGCGCUUAUGCGGUAUUAACAGUCGUUUCCAACUGUUAUCCCCCUGUGUGAGGCAGGUUACCCACGCGUUACUCACCCGUCCGCCACUAAGUAUUCCAAUUGAUUCUUCAGAAGCAAGCUUCCUCGGUCUCGGGAGGAAUACUCCGUUCGACUUGCAUGUGUUAAGCACGCCGCCAGCGUUUAUC